CCUAUCUAUCAGAGUCAGAGACAAGGUUCCCUAUUUGAGGACUGAAGGCACCUCCAAUUUCUGAUAAUUACCUUCAUCUUCAAUGAUUCCAAGCUUCAAUACACAGUCCUGCAAAGAACUAUAGCUAACAAGUUCAGAUCAAUUAAAGAGAUAGACACAUCAACAAACCAAUGGACAACUAAAGUCAUGGUUAUUGAAAAGGGCUUUCAAAGAACAUGAAUGACAAGUAACAAAGAUUUUCAAAGAUUGAUGCU
Camellia sinensis is the source of this 254-nucleotide non-coding RNA. NCBI's taxonomy places the organism in Eukaryota, Viridiplantae, Streptophyta, Magnoliopsida, Ericales, Theaceae. The record is from RefSeq and is a predicted model, not a curated record.